AUUGAACGCUGGCGGCAUGCCUUACACAUGCAAGUCGAACGGCAGCAUGAUCUAGCUUGCUAGAUUGAUGGCGAGUGGCGAACGGGUGAGUAAUACAUCGGAACGUGCCCUGUAGUGGGGGAUAACUAGUCGAAAGAUUAGCUAAUACCGCAUACGACCUGAGGGUGAAAGUGGGGGACCGCAAGGCCUCAUGCUAUAGGAGCGGCCGAUGUCUGAUUAGCUAGUUGGUGAGGUAAAGGCUCACCAAGGCGACGAUCAGUAGCUGGUCUGAGAGGACGAUCAGCAACACUGGGACUGAGAGACGGCCAAGACUCCUACGGGAGGCAGCAGUGGGGAAUUUUGGACAAUGGGCGAAAGCCUGAUCCAGCAAUGCCGCGUGUGUGAAGAAGGCCUUCGGGUUGUAAAGCACUUUUGUCCGGAAAGAAAUGGCUCUGGUUAAUACCUGGGGCCGAUGACGGUACCGGAAGAAUAAGGACCGGCUAACUACGUGCCAGCAGCCGCCGUAA
This 506-nucleotide ribosomal RNA is filed under the name uncultured bacterium. RNAcentral describes it as "partial 16S ribosomal RNA". It matches the Rfam family "Bacterial small subunit ribosomal RNA", at positions 30 to 523 of the family's 1533-position model. The record is from RNAcentral.